This 306-nucleotide ribosomal RNA is filed under the name Triticum aestivum (bread wheat). RNAcentral's name for it is "partial small subunit ribosomal RNA". Lineage: Eukaryota; Viridiplantae; Streptophyta; Magnoliopsida; Poales; Poaceae. The record is from RNAcentral.
AUGGCGCAUGGCGCUAUUGGCCAUGCCGGCGAAGGGAGAUCGAGGCGGCUGUUCUCGUGCCUCUUCUGCGACAAGAAGUUCCUCAAGUCUCAGGCGUUGGGGGGCCACCAGAAUGUGCACAAGAAGGAGCGGGCCGGCAGCUGGAACCCCCACCUCUACCUCCAAUCCGACCACGGCGACCGGCCGGCCACCGCGGCAGCACAGGCGCCUGCGAGAUGGCCAAACACGCGCCUUGACGACGGCGAGAAGCAGUUGCAGCAGCAGCAGCAGCUUGAUCUCAAGUUCUCAACCUCAAGCUUUAAUUAG